AUCAGGACAGAGAGGAGGGAGUCCCUCCCUCUAAAACCACUCAGAGGAACCAGUCUGGACCUGGACCUGGACCUGGACUUGGAGCUGAGCCCAGCUGUUUGUCCUUCAAGAGCGACCGGUCGAAGAAUAUUCCUCUUGAUUUUCAAUCAGAGCCACAGAGAGUGGACCAGCAGAGCUCAGAGCU
Long non-coding RNA from Melanotaenia boesemani (Boeseman's rainbowfish), 184 nucleotides. RefSeq lists it as uncharacterized. The record is from RefSeq and is a predicted model, not a curated record. The transcript has 3 exons. NCBI's taxonomy places the organism in Eukaryota, Metazoa, Chordata, Actinopteri, Atheriniformes, Melanotaeniidae.